This 52-nucleotide non-coding RNA is filed under the name Plasmodium falciparum 3D7. Lineage: Eukaryota; Apicomplexa; Aconoidasida; Haemosporida; Plasmodiidae. The record is from RNAcentral.
AUUCGUGUGAGUAUUAAAUGACGUGUGUUCUUCUUUUCUCAUUACUCUAUCG